CGAGAGGCCCAAACGUUAUUCGGAAUUACUGGGCUUAAAGAGUUCGUAGGCGGCGCAGAAAGUAGGGUGUGAAAGCCCUCGGCUUAACCGAGGAAUUGCGCCCUAAACUACUGUGCUUGAGGAACCUAGAGGUGAGCAGAACAGAUGGUGGAGCGGUGAAAUGCGUUGAUAUCAUCUGGAAUACCGGAGGCGAAGGCGGCUCACUGGGGGUUUUCUGACGCUGAGGAACGAAAGCCAGGGUAGCGAACGGGAUUAGAUACCCCGGUAGUCCUGGCCGUAAACGAUGAGCACUAGGCCGGAGGGCUGCACAGCCUUUCGGCCGUAGCUAAAGUGUUAAGUGCUCCGCCUGGGGAGUAUGGUCGCAAGGCUG
RNAcentral lists this ribosomal RNA (370 nucleotides) under uncultured organism. RNAcentral's name for it is "bacterial SSU rRNA". It matches the Rfam family "Bacterial small subunit ribosomal RNA", at positions 526 to 896 of the family's 1533-position model. The record is from RNAcentral.